CCUGAGUUCCCUGUAGUGAGCUUGCUUCUCUCCACCCACUUCUCACCAAAGCACUCCUUAACUUGAGGGUGGACGAUUUAAAGCUAGAUCCCAGCGCCUCACCUGCAGAGUGGUCUGUGUAUUCAUUGAACUAAAAGGCCUGAUCACCUACGUGAGGCGGUGGGAACCAUAUGGAAAUUAUAUCAGAACUUCAGCAAAGGGCACAGCCACAGCCCGCAGAAGCCAGCGUUCAGACUGACAGGCAAAUGAACCAGCUUGUGGACGGGGCCUCUGGGUGUCAGCUCUGGCCGUUUGGUUGUUGGACAGCUAUGGUCAGAACUGAAAUGGAACACGAGACAGGAGAAAAACACACUUUUACUCUGCGCAACUGUUGCUUUCACAUGAUCUUUGAGAAUGUUACUGGGAUAAUUGUCCAAAUCAAAGUCCAUGCGUUCAUCCAUGGUACUGAUUGUUAAGGUUCCAUUAAGAAAGGAUAACUCCCAAAUAAUGUGUCGCUGUGGAGUCUUUGCCUGUUGCCGUCUAAACCACGAUAGAAUAAGAAUAAUCUGAAAUAAGAAAUUUAAGGACUUUUUUUCCUUCACCACACCAGUAUAGGGGUGAUCGUCCCCCUGAGCAGUAAAAACUAUGGAGAGAUUCUUCAAAACCCACUGGGACAAACAACAGAUGAAUUAAUAAACCUCUUCUUCUCUGUGAGCAGCAGCCGGUUAACAGUUACCUCUAAUGGUCACUCAGAAAGCAUUUAAUGAAAAAGUGCUCCAUAAAGGGGAACACUUAAAGUGGAUAUGAGAAGAUAAGAAAAUGAGCAUAGGAGGAAACCAUCUCAGGUAAAAAAGAAAAGAAAAGAAAAAGAAAGCCCAAGUGUAAAGUGUAAUUAUUCAGCAAUAUUUUAAAGAGAAAAUUAUUCUAUGCUUGGUUCUAAGGUAUUUUCCUUCCUUUUGUGGAGCUAGCUAUUUUUGUUGAUGGUUUUCCUUCAAGACUUUGUAGUAUGGCUUGCCUUUGUAAACCUUUUUGUUUGGUUUUGUGAUCAAUGCCCAGUUGCCAUCACUCUGAGGGCAUGUGUGUAUACUGAUUCUUACAACACAAAUACAAGAUGGUUAAAAAGGAAGCUAUUUAAUGAAAAGGAAAAUAUGUUUUCGGUGUUUAUAACGUACAGAAGGAAGUAGAAUCUGGGAGGAAGGUAUAAACUCAUGGUUUGCGUCUUAAUCUUUUUUCAUAUAUCUAGUAAGACAAUAAAGUCAAAGCAAAUUGUGAAGGAAUAAAAACUACAAUCAGUGCUUCCUCUCUUUUCAUGUGAAAUCUUUGCUGUAUGGUGAAAUACUUUCACUAUGAUUGUAUGAUUGUUGAUUAUUUACUAUAGUUUUAAUAAGCAGGAGAAGGAUUUGAAACUAAAUAAUGGUGAAAAUUUGUGUCUACCAAAUUAUCUGUAUAAAACUCUAUAAAAUACGUUAUAUUUUUAUUUAUUUCAAACACGCCAAAUCAGGAAGUAAUUACUAUGCAGUAUUAUUUUUCACAAUGAAGAUGUAAUUAAGAAAAGCUUAAUCAUUUUUGUAUGAGUGAAAUGAUUAAUGAUUAUAUAGCUUAUAAUUUUGUUGCAGAUGAGUUUAGAAUCCUAAAAAAGUACAUGUAACUGGUUUUAUAUGUGCUCACUCGCUUGUUCCCGUACAGUCUGAUAGCUCACAAAAUUAGAGACUAAUUUAUUUCAUUUCAACCUGUUGAACACAAGAGUUAUAGGCAAGUGCAUAUUUUGUUUAUGGGAUACAAUUUUGGGGAAAAAUAAAUUUAAAUGUAUUUUGUUGAAAGAGACUAUAUGCUCUUUGAUGUGGUACGAAUGAAUACACACAGUACAGAAUAG
Molecule: non-coding RNA, 1852 nt
Organism: Myodes glareolus (Bank vole)
Lineage: Eukaryota; Metazoa; Chordata; Mammalia; Rodentia; Cricetidae
Source: RefSeq, a predicted model, not a curated record